RNAcentral lists this ribosomal RNA (253 nucleotides) under uncultured bacterium. RNAcentral's name for it is "partial 16S ribosomal RNA". It matches the Rfam family "Bacterial small subunit ribosomal RNA", at positions 524 to 776 of the family's 1533-position model. The record is from RNAcentral.
UACGAAGGGUGCAAGCGUUACUCGGAAUUACUGGGCGUAAAGCGCGCGUAGGCGGCCCGAUAAGUCCGCUGUGAAAGUCAAAGGCUCAACCUUUGAAUGCCGGUGGAUACUGUCGGGCUAGAGUCCGGAAGAGGCGAGUGGAAUUCCUGGUGUAGCGGUGAAAUGCGCAGAUAUCAGGAAGAACACCCGUGGCGAAGGCGGUUCUCUGGGACGGUACUGACGCUGAGACGCGAAAGCGUGGGGAGCGAACAGG